CGUAGGUGGCAAGCAUUAUCCGGAUUUAUUGGGCGUAAAGGGUGCGCAGGUGGUUUGUUAAGUUUGAGGUGAAAGCGUUGGGCUCAACCCAAUUUAGCCUCGAAUACUGGCAGACUGGAGUGCAGAAGAGGGCAAUGGAAUUCCAUGUGUAGCGGUAAAAUGCGUAGAUAUAUGGAGGAACACCAGUGGCGAAGGCGGUUGCCUGGUCUGUAACUGACGCUGAGGCACGAAAGCGUGGGAGCAAAUAGGAUU
RNAcentral lists this ribosomal RNA (252 nucleotides) under uncultured bacterium. RNAcentral describes it as "partial 16S ribosomal RNA". It matches the Rfam family "Bacterial small subunit ribosomal RNA", at positions 526 to 779 of the family's 1533-position model. The record is from RNAcentral.